UUGGGGGUGGAAACACAGAUGGUGAUGCUGAUAGUGACAGUGAUUUGGAAGUCGUUUCAGAUACUUUCAGUGUCAACCUUCGCUGUCCUGUAUGGCUUUCAUUAAUAAAUGGAUUAUUAUGGCAAUUCAUAAAGUCCUACUAACAGUUUUUCUAUAUUUUGGUGAAAUUUUAGAUGAGUGGUUCAAGAAUGAAGAUUGCUGGAAGAUUCAACCCUUGUAUUCACAUGGGUUGCUUUGACCUUGAGGUUUUUGUGGAAAUGAAUCAACGAUCAAGGAAGGCAAGAUUCCAAAUGUUGCAUGAUUUGUCCACUCCCCUUUGUGUUUUUUUGUCUGCUGAUGAAUUGAAUUGUUUCUACAGUGGCAAUGUCCUAUAUGUCUCAAAAACUAUGCUUUGGAGAAUAUUAUCAUUGAUCCUUAUUUCAAUCGCAUCACUUCUAUGGUAGUUAUUUAAAAAAUUAAUAAUAGUUUCUAGUGUUCAUAAUUUUCUAUUUGACAAAAUCUGUAGCCAUUAUUUAAAUUGAUUUGGUGGCACAGAUGUUAAAUUGUGGUGAAGAAAUUACAGAGGUUGAGGUGAAGCCUGAUGGUUCUUGGCGUGUGAAGACAAAGAGUGAAAGUGAACGCCAGGAAUUAGGGAGUCUAGCACAGUGGCAUCUUCCUGAUGGAUCUCCAUGCGUUUCAGCUGAUGGAGAUUUCAAGAGAGUGGAUACAUUGAAGCAGGUCAAACAGGAAGGUGUUUCUGACAGUCCAACUGGUUUAAAACUUGGCAUCAGGAAGAAUCGCAAUGGAGUUUGGGAAGUCAGUAAACCUGAGGGCACAAACACCUCUUCUGGUAAUAAAUUGAAAGGGGUUUUUGGAAAUCCCGAACAGGUUGUUAUUCCAAUGAGCAGCAGUGCUACUGGAAGUGGCCGAGAUGGUGACGAUCCUAGUGUAAAUCAGGGUGGUGGUGGGAAUAUCGACUAUUCUGCUGCAACUGGCAUUGAAAUAGAUUCUCUGUGUCUCAAUAAUGUUGAUUUAGCAUAUGAAUAUACUGCACAUGACACUUCUGCUCAGGCGGGUGGUACAGAAGUUAUUGUUCUUAGUGAUUCUGAAGAAGACAACGAUCUUUUGGUAUCGCCUCCGAUUGCGUAUAGGAACAACCAAAAUGAUGCUACAGAUGGUUAUUCUGUACAACCACCUGUAAUAGUUGAUUCAUACACUGAAGAUCAUAAUCUUGUUGGUGGAAAUUCUUGCUUAGGACUCUUUCCCAAUGAUGAUGAUUUUGGGAUGUCUUCCCUGUGGUCUAUGCCUUCUGGAAGUCAGGCUGGUCCUGGAUUCCAACUAUUUGGUUCCGAUGCAGAUGUGUCAGAUGCAUUGGUCCAUCUGCAACAUGGUCCUGUGAAUUGCUCUUCAUCACUAAAUGGUUAUGCACUAGCUCCUGAUACUGCUUUGGGAUCUGGUAGUAUCUUGCAUGAUUCCUCUGCUGGUCGGUUGGAUGCUGAUUUGAAUGGUGGUUUGGUGGACAAUCCAUUAGCAUUUGGCGGUGAUGAUCCCUCACUUCAGAUUUUUCUCCCCACUAGACCAGCGGACUCAUCCAUUCAGAAUGAAUUGAGAGAUCAGGCAAAUGUGGCUAAUGGUGUCUGCACUGAGGAGGAUUGGAUAUCCCUUAGUCUUGGAGGUGGUGCUGGUGGUAGCAAUGGUGAUGCUUCUACUCAAAAUGGAUUGAAUUCUAGACAUCAAAUCCCAACCAGAGAUGUUGGCACAAAUACUUUGGAUGAUACUGGUUCGUUGCUCUGACCUUACUGAAUCAGAAUAUUCCUUAUUUUUUUUAGUGACUAGCUGGUAAUUGGAGCAUUAUUUUUCAACGGAGGGAAUAAUAAAAAAUCUUUAAUGAAGCAAAAUUGGCCAUAUUCUUUUUUGAUGCGUAAUUGACCAUUUUUUAAAAAUUAGUAAAAGAAAUAAAUAGUUUUUUUUUAUAAAGUAAAGUGUUCUUGUUCCUUGUUAUAUAUGUAACAUACCAUCAAAGAUAUACUGGAGUUUAAAUUGAUGUGACAUUUUAUGAUAAAAAGAUAUCAAAUAUUUUGAUAAUAUAAUUUCCGUUACAAAAGGCAACAUUUAUCCUUAGGAAAUUUGAGGUUUGGGACAGGAAUAUUUAUUACACAUCCUAAUUAUACUUAAAAGAACAAAAUGUUUAGCGGUUUUUAAAUUAACCAGAUAGUAAGUGUAUAUAUUUGAAAUGUAAUAGUUUCUACUAUGAUUGUUUAACUUAAGUCCAAAGGGCUUGUGUCAGCAAAACCUUGCCUACUGAUAUGGAAGUUUUUUAAUUUUGUAAAGAAAUAUAUUACUUGCAUAUCUUAAUUCAAAGAGUUAGUUUAGCUGUCUUCAUUAAAUACAUGUUAUUACUCAGCCUUCAUUAGAAAGUAUUUUUACUAUCUUUCUUUGUUAAAUUAUUUGUUCUUAAACCGCCACAAGUAAAAACAAUAGUUUGAGAAUGGUUCAAGAGUUUCUCUUGCGAUUAUCACUGUCAAUUAUUCUCAACCCAUAUUAUGAAGGGUGUUUUUGGAUUUUGAGCUGGAUUAGACUGAUUUUAAGGGAUGACAAUUGAUCUAAUAUAAUUUUUUUAUUAUAUCAUCGGAUAUGUUUUGGUUCAAAAUCUAUAUCCAAAUUUAUUUGGAUUGGAUUUUUCUGUUUUCGAAUUUCUAAUUAUACAAAACAUAAAAAAUGUAAAAGCCAAAUUUUAUCAGAAUACAUGAAAUACACGUUUUCCCCUAAUUCAUCUAAAUAUUUUAGAUUCUACAUAUAGAACCUAAUAGAUUGUCAACAAUACAAUACAAAUUCAAAUCUCCAAAGGAACAUUAAGUUUGGUUCAGAGUAAGUUCAUAAAUAUAGAUUUUAUACAUACUUUUUUAGGUAUAAUAUCAUUUUGGAAGUACUAUACAUAAAAUUCUAAAAUCAUCUAAAAUAAGUGCAUAAUACCUUUUUUGCUCAUUUUUUCAGUUUAUAGUGGAUGUUUAAUACUCUCAAACAUCAUGAAGCAAACAAAAUAAGCAUUUACAUCUUUCUACAUAUUGUGGAAAUUUAUGCAUUUUUAAAAUUUGUUGGUUUUCUUUUUUCUGGACACCUGUCUGCCUCUGCUAUCUCUGUGUCUCUAUCGUAGAUGGAAUAUAUUUAGUAAGCCUUUUGAUAUGGGUUUAAUUCUUUCAUGCGUGAUCUUUAGUACAUUCCUAAGCUUCUUAUCAAGUUUAUUUGAGGGGCUGUGAAGGAGGAUCGAAAGCUGGGUAUUCAGUUUCUUUGCAUCGAGCACUGCUAUACCUUCUGUUAAAUGGUUAGAAACCUUCAAAUGUUUAGUUGUGGAUUUGUCGAGAUACAUUUUACGGCUGUGUUAAUCUGCUGCUGCAUCAUAUCCUUGUGACAGAAAAGUGAUUUUUUAAAACUCUACUCCUAAAAUCAGCCAAAUGCUCAUAAUUUGCUUUCCCAGAUAGAAACCAUAAAUGGUUCCUUUUAUUACCAGACAGUUGAGGAUGUUAACCUCUAAACAAAGUUGAGGAGGUUGGUGUGUACAUGCAUUUGCAUCUUCCUCAUUAUGUUCGGUUCCCCUUUUCUGCUCCCUAUAAGAUAAUUGCAUUUUUACUUCUGAGAUAGUGACCGUCAAUGCAGUUUUGACAUUUUUUAUUUAUUUUUCCAUUAUUUUUAUUCCUGUGUAUGCAGCUUCUUUACUCCUUGGGAUGAAUGAUGUUAGAACUGACAGGCCAAGUAGGCAAAGGUCAGAUAGUCCUUUCUCAUUUCCUCGCCAAAGACGUUCUGUAAGACCCCGUUUGUACCUUUCUAUUGAUUCGGAUUCAGAGUAAAGGUCAGACCUUGUGUCUCAAAAACUUUAGGUACUCUUCUUAACACCAGAUUUCGUAUUUAUUAACUGAAGAAAGUUGAGAGGCAUUUUUGGUCCUCAUGAAAUGGCAGUUAAUACAUAUGUGGUCUAAGGCAUCUCUGGUGGAACAGAGCUACACGUUACCCUCCCAAAAUGCUUGCGCCCACCCCAUCGACAAGGAUUGUUGGUUGUAAUGAUCUUUGUUCUUGAUAUCUAAAUUGUCCUUAGCACAGAUGUUGGUAGGCCAAGCUGGAGCUAUUAUUCCCAUCAAUUUUCAAUGAGGGUGUGCUGGGGUACACUGCUGGUUUUUAUUGUAUAGUUCCUCAUUGGAAUCUGGUAGUUUAAACUUUGAAAUUUGGUGGGACAUUAUAUCUGCAUUUUUGUCUCUGCGGAGAGCAAUAACCUGUAAAUGAUUUAGCCAUAUCAGAUCCAACAGUUAAAUCAAAGAUAUUGUUUCUCUUAAACUGAUCAUUUUUCUAUAAUGUUAUGUUGUUCAUGCCUCAUGACAUCUGGACUUUGAUAUUUAUUUAUCUUAAUAUAUUAACAUGUUUUGUUUGCAUGAUUGAGUAGAGAAGGAAGGACACAGACCCUCUCCUGCAUCUUUCGUUUACAGCCCUCGGAUGUAAUUGCAUGGAUGUGAUUGAAAGCUAUAAAGUGUUUUGACUGUUAAGAAUGUAAUGUAAUCCGUUUAAGGUUUCUUAUAAUAUCUUAUAUUUAAUUGAGAACUUUUGUUAAGGAAAAAAAAAAGAUUUUGGAGGAAUUACUAUGGGCACAUUGCUUAAUAUAAUAUCGAAUAAUGUUUUUCCAUCCAUAGAAUUACUCGUAUUAGCAUUAAUCAAGUAUAUCAACGACAAUAAUUAUAUUAAAAUUUACGGUUGUUAUAUAUAUUGAAAUGAAAUUUAUAUUAUAACUUAUUCAAUAAUUUUGUAAGUAUUAAAGUAUAUGUCGUACAAUUGUAACCAAGGUUUAUUCAAUUCCAUUUUAGUUUGAAUAUAAAUAAAAUUACAUGGAUAUCAUUAGAACAUAUAAAUAAUAUUAAUAUUAAUAUAAUAUAAUAAAAUGAAACAACUUGUUAUAUAUUCUUUUUAAGAAAAUAAAUAUCAAUGAAAAAAUGUACAUGCAAACGAGAGGCUAUCGCAAAAUAAAAUAAAAGGUUAUAAGAAACUUAAAAAGGAGAAUAUAUAUGAUAUAAACAUAUAGAUAGAAAGAACAAGAUUACAUUAUAUACUUCCAUGAAAUUAGGUAAUAUACCAAAUUACAACAUACUUUAAGCGUAAUAUCAUUCUUGUUUUUCUUUACCUGAUGUUAAAGUUUUAAAGAAAAACUGCAUCGCAUGGUUAAUAAUAGUGUAGUGUUACACUAACACAUCAGCCAUGCAAAUUCUUGUUUUUGUCAGUGGCAUUUUACGAACAAGUUUGCCUCCUUUCUGAUACUUCCGCCUCACCCCGCCGCUGCUUCUUCUUCUGAACAUCCGUGCACUCCAUUCGCCCGAGUCCUCGAGCACAAACUCCUCCAUGGGGAAGAAGAAGCAGAAAGUCGUUCUUCCGCCGGAGCUUCCGCCAGAGAUUCCAGACGACGAAGUUGAGGUUUCCGACGAUGACCUCCAAUUCAUCAAAGAGAAUCGCAACUAUGCCUCCCUGCUCUCCACCUUAGACUCUUUCUUCCAAUCCUCUGUCCUCUGUUUUCAUAAUAUUUUAUGGCGGCCUUACUUGCAAUGCUACAUUUUGUGUAAUAAAUUGUUAGCGAAAGUUUCGAAGUUUUUGUCACAAUUAAAUACGGAAAAUUAUAAAUUUGCACAGUUUGCCUCUUUGAAACCUUUCCGUAGUAGCGGAGUUUAUGUUAGUAUUGAAAAACCCGACUUAUCCUUGCUUAUUUUCUGCUUUAGCUGUUAGGUGCAUAAUUUGGGGAAAUGUCUGAAAUAUUUUAUCUCACCGUUUAUCAAGACGGAAAUUUUUUGCAGACUUAUCGUUCAAAUACUUUCAUAGCAAUAAGCUUUGGAGUGACAAUUAAAGUGUUUUUUUUUUGUUUUUUUACUUUUUUGCAUUAGAACAUUUUUAUCGGUUCUUGUAGACAAAGAGCUUCUUGAGCCUGCAAUUUGAAUUUUUAGGGUAAGCGGGAACUGCUACCUGUAUAGCGUGGAAAUGUCUUCUUAUUGUAACACUUUAGCCUAUGAUAGGAACCCAAUGCAAUGUAGGUUGAAAUUUGUAUUAUAGAUUGAAAAUAAAACUAUUACUGAAGAGAAGCCCUGUAAUCCCAUAGCAUAAGCUCCUAAGAGAAACUAUUUUAUAUGUAAC
RNAcentral lists this long non-coding RNA (6135 nucleotides) under Phaseolus vulgaris (common bean). RNAcentral describes it as "long non-coding RNA (PVUL_LNC000099)". Lineage: Eukaryota; Viridiplantae; Streptophyta; Magnoliopsida; Fabales; Fabaceae. The record is from RNAcentral.